AUUGGCCUGUGCUGUUUCCUGAUUAGCUGAAGAGAGAUGGUUACGUUCUUACGUUCUUAAACUGCACUUGGCAAUUUGACAAGUGGGAAGGCAAGCCAGAUAUGGCUGACAGCCCUGUUGCUCUCCUCACUGUGGUCACUGACAACACUACUGGUGCGGUACACUUCAGCCCUGAGAGCGUCUCUGUUGUAGUCGAGGAUGAAAUUGUUGAAGAAGGUACCAGAUAAACCAGGCCAGCACUGAGAGGCUCAGGAAGAGCUUCUACCCUACGGGCACUAAGAUCCUAAAUGAGGUCACUGCCUAAGACUGCCCCCCCACAAUCAUACACAUACUAUAUAUUUAUUACUAUUCCAUAUCUAUUUAAACUCUUUAAUGCACAAAUUGAAGGAAAUGGCGGGAUUACAUUUCCCUGUGAUUGUGCCUUAUAUGAUUACAUGUGACAAAUAAACUUGAUUGAUUGAUUGAAAUAUGACUGGAAACAUUUCUAUCACAUUGUUAAACCACAAACAAGUCCCUUCUUGCAUUCCGUCUCUCUUUUUGUUUUCCUCACAUCCUCACACACACACAUCACACACAUUCAGCAUGUUUCAAAUUGCAUGGUGGCCUAUUUAUUAUUGGAGGGGUACUCCAACUGACAAACAAAUACCUAGAAAUGAAGUCAUCUGGCCAGGACAUGUUUACACAAACACUGCUGAGGGAUUUUAUGGCUGAUGUUUCCCUGUAAGCCUUUACCCGCUCUCCCUAACAGUUCCUCCUUUCCCCUCUAUGUUCCUAAACACACGGUUGAUCAAAACACAGUGCUAGAUGCUAUACUGGACCACAUAAACCACCAUACUCUCAAACAAAUCUCUGUCUGAGAGAGCUUUAGGGUCCAGAUGUCCCCACAGUAUGGAAGGGAAAAGAAGGGAAGGACCACCAGACUUGAUAACGUGCUGAGGUCAGACACGUUAGCUACCCCAUUUACUCCCCCUGUCACCCCCUCUCCAUCCUCCCUGUAACAAGAUCCUAAUAACGAAGCCAGAGUGUAUUAGGAGUCAAGACUCCAACACCACAGGGUCCGCACAGACUAAACAAGUCCAGUUGAUGGUGGAAAGAAUUGUUCUUUGGGAGAAAUGCGUCCAGCGGCCAUGCCAGAAAACAUAAAUAUGGAGUGAGCCACCAGGGCCCCCUUGAAACAUCUGUGGUGUAAUUAAUUGUGCUAUUGCUUGGGUGGCACUGUCGUCACCCAGGAAUAAUCAGCUGCGGAUAUAUUUCUAUUGACUCUGAGACAUGCAAGUCUCUCUCUCGCUCUCUCUCUGAGUCUGCUUCUCCCACUUUAUCUGCCUUUCUUAAUGAAAUCUGACCUAGCCUAAAGAAAUAUUAUUCAUUUGGGACUCUUCUUUUGUGCAUUUGGUGGUUCAAAGUUUGGAACGACUCACUUAUUGACCUGAGCAGAGGGGCUUAACCCUGCAGGAUCAACUUUAACAGUGCUAAUAAGAAAAAAAGGCAGAUCCUAGGGGGUUCAGUUUGAACCUUUUGAAUUAAUUGAUUUGAAUUACAGUCUGCUUAUGUUUGCAGGGGUAAUAUAUCAGAUACAAAUGCUUAUACAUCCCUCCUGUAUCAUGUGGGAUGAAUUCAUGCCCUAUGUGCAUAUUUUCUCCUCUUAAAUGACGAAUGUUUUUAUGUGGUGGUCUUGCACAAACAGAUUAUAGAUUGAUCACUAUCCUAAUGAUUUCUAAUACUGUGAUGCAUAUGGUAAGGAUUAUGACACAAAGACACAGACAUACACACACACAUUUGAAUUAUGAAGUUGCACGCACGCGCAUGUUCCCCACACAUUCCAGUUUUUCAGCAUCA
Long non-coding RNA from Thunnus maccoyii (southern bluefin tuna), 1836 nucleotides. RefSeq lists it as uncharacterized. The record is from RefSeq and is a predicted model, not a curated record. NCBI's taxonomy places the organism in Eukaryota, Metazoa, Chordata, Actinopteri, Scombriformes, Scombridae. The transcript is spliced from 3 exons.